Long non-coding RNA from Lycium ferocissimum, 1297 nucleotides. RefSeq lists it as uncharacterized. The record is from RefSeq and is a predicted model, not a curated record. The transcript is spliced from 2 exons. NCBI's taxonomy places the organism in Eukaryota, Viridiplantae, Streptophyta, Magnoliopsida, Solanales, Solanaceae.
UACAGCCUGCAACACAUGAUUACUGCUUGUUCAUUCCUCCUCCCCUCCAUGUUUGUUGCUGUCUGAAUUUCAUGCAUCCUUCCCCUGUUGUUUAAGUUGUAUUGUAAGUCUAGGAUCAUGUGAAACUCCUUAUCUUGCUCUUUUUGGGUAGGAAACUGUUUGGUCUAUGUAAGUGUUGAUUCCUUUAAGAUAGUGAAAGUUUGAAGCAAUCCUUUCUUUGUCUGGAUUUCUCAAAUGAAUAUGCUCCAGUAAGCACUUGGCAUAAAAUAUCAUGUUUUCUCUUCCUUGCUAUUAGAACUAAGUUUUCUGUUGUGGGUGCAAGCUCAAGCAUAUACUGUUUAGAUAUCUAGCUGAAUCUUAUUAUUUGAUUAAUCUACCUUUCUAAUAUUCUAGUGAGUUUUGUCAACUUAAGUUUGGCCUUCGUUAUCAAAAACAGGAGACUGAUAGGAUGUGAUUUAAGCCUGCUUGUUGUCUUAACAGUACAUCCUAGUCAUUGCACUUAUGGAUCAAUUUGAGUUUGGUUGUAAAAAAAAAAAGUGGUAAAAUAAUUUUCUCAAAGGAGCUUAUUGUAUGAUGUUCCAGAUGUAGAAGGCUUCAAGGAUAGCCUGAUGCUCACUAUGAUAACCAUAGUUCUAAUUAAUCCAUGUUCAAAGAAUUGUCAAUACUGGUUGUGGAAUGUUGGUUUUCUGGUUCCUUAAUAAAAGCCUGUUGGAUCAUUUAUUUUUGCUUAUGAGGUUCGCAAGUGCAAAGGUGUCGUUUGGGUCUUUGGCAUGUUUCCAACUUGGCUAAUCUCUGGUAAAGAGUGCAAUUUUUUGUGAGGAAACUCAUGUUUUUUCUUGGAAUGUAACUAAGAGGAAUAUGUUAGAAAUACACUUGGAUGUAUGUAUUUUAAAACUAUAAAUGAACCACCAAGCUAAUUAGCAUACUUUGCAGUAAAAGUUCAUACGUUCAGAUCUGGUGUUUGCUGAAAACUGCUGGCUGAUUAGUUUAAGAUAAUAUUGACCUUUCUUUUAUUAUUAAAGCACUACUCUAAGAAGUGUUUGAUGCCAUUAUUGGGUAAUGACUGUAUUUUGGUAGAAUUGUAGAGAGAUAAGAAUGCCAACUUGUUCUCUUGGAAUCUUAAGUGUUGUUUCCAAAGGAGAGUUUAGGAAUUUCAAACCAUUUUAGAUCUUCUCUUUUGGGAUUAAAGAAGGAUUUUAAAACAGUAGUAUUGAAUCUGAUUGGAAAUAUGCUAUCCCUAUUUUUUUGAAAACUUGCAUUAGUUUACAUAUUGCAUUGGUUUUUAUUUCUUAUUUUU